AUUUAUAUAGUAUAAUAAUUAUAAUUGAUUUCCAAUCAAAAGAUCUAUUCUAAUAGUAUAAAUA
RNAcentral lists this transfer RNA (64 nucleotides) under Tetraserica leishanica. Its description in RNAcentral is "tRNA-Gly". Lineage: Eukaryota; Metazoa; Arthropoda; Insecta; Coleoptera; Scarabaeidae. The record is from RNAcentral.